This 551-nucleotide ribosomal RNA is filed under the name Candida albicans. Its description in RNAcentral is "eukaryotic LSU rRNA". It matches the Rfam family "Eukaryotic large subunit ribosomal RNA", at positions 92 to 658 of the family's 3401-position model. Lineage: Eukaryota; Fungi; Ascomycota; Pichiomycetes; Serinales; Debaryomycetaceae. The record is from RNAcentral.
AGUGAGCGGCAAAAGCUCAAAUUUGAAAUCUGGCGUCUUUGGCGUCCGAGUUGUAAUUUGAAGAAGGUAUCUUUGGGCCCGGCUCUUGUCUAUGUUCCUUGGAACAGGACGUCACAGAGGGUGAGAAUCCCGUGCGAUGAGAUGACCCGGGUCUGUGUAAAGUUCCUUCGACGAGUCGAGUUGUUUGGGAAUGCAGCUCUAAGUGGGUGGUAAAUUCCAUCUAAAGCUAAAUAUUGGCGAGAGACCGAUAGCGAACAAGUACAGUGAUGGAAAGAUGAAAAGAACUUUGAAAAGAGAGUGAAAAAGUACGUGAAAUUGUUGAAAGGGAAGGGCUUGAGAUCAGACUUGGUAUUUUGCAUGCUGCUCUCUCGGGGGCGGCCGCUGCGGUUUACCGGGCCAGCAUCGGUUUGGAGCGGCAGGAUAAUGGCGGAGGAAUGUGGCACGGCUUCUGCUGUGUGUUAUAGCCUCUGACGAUGCUGCCAGCCUAGACCGAGGACUGCGGUUUUUAACCUAGGAUGUUGGCAUAAUGAUCUUAAGUCGCCCGUCUUGAC